RNAcentral lists this ribosomal RNA (497 nucleotides) under uncultured bacterium. Its description in RNAcentral is "partial 16S ribosomal RNA". It matches the Rfam family "Bacterial small subunit ribosomal RNA", at positions 28 to 507 of the family's 1533-position model. The record is from RNAcentral.
GAUGAACGCUGGCGGCGUGCCUAAUACAUGCAAGUCGAGCGAACAGACCAGGAGCUUGCUCCUCUGACGUUAGCGGCGGACGGGAGAGUAACACGUGGAUAACCUACCUAUAAGACUGGGAUAACUUCGGGAAACCGGAGCUAAUACCGGAUAAUAUAUUGAACCGCAUGGUUCCAUAGUGAAAGACGGUUUUGCUGUCACUUAUAGAUGGAUCCGCGCCGCAUUAGCUAGUUGGUAAGGUAACGGCUUACCAAGGCGACGAUGCGUAGCCGACCUGAGAGGGUGCGCGGCCACACUGGAACUGAGACACGGUCCAGACUCCUACGGGAGGCAGCAGUAGGGAAUCUUCCGCAAUGGGCGAAAGCCUGACGGAGCAACGCCGCGUGAGUGAUGAAGGUCUUCGGAUCGUAAAACUCUGUUAUUAGGGAAGAACAAAUGUGUAAGUAACUAUGCACGUCUUGACGGUACCUGAUCAGAAAGCCACGGCUAACUACGUG